This 426-nucleotide ribosomal RNA is filed under the name Convolutidae sp. 141JP. Its description in RNAcentral is "SSU rRNA". It matches the Rfam family "Eukaryotic small subunit ribosomal RNA", at positions 637 to 1077 of the family's 1831-position model. Lineage: Eukaryota; Metazoa; Xenacoelomorpha; Acoela; Convolutidae. The record is from RNAcentral.
GUGAUCAUCAAAGGGAGUAGUUCGGUUACGGUCGUUCUAUUCCUGGUCAUGUCUUUCACUAUACUUGGAAGACAGUUUAUUCUUAACUGAAUAGACUGAUCGAAAACAAGUGAUAAACCUUGAAAAAAUUAGAGUGCUCAAAGCAAGCUUUGGCCUUGAAUUUUAAAGCAUGGAAUUGAGGAAGAGGACCAUUAUGGUCGUGAACCAUUUUGGUAAUGAUUAAAAGGAACAGACGGGGGCAUACGUAUUGCUCGGGGAGGGGUGAAAUCCGUAGAUCCCAGCAAGACGACCUACUGCGAAAGCAUUUGCCAAGAAUGUUUUCAUUAAUCAAGAACGAAAGUUAGAGUAUUAAAGAGGAUUAGAUACCCUCGUAAUUCUAACCUUAAACGAUACCACCCUAAUCUUAGCCAAUGUAAUUUAUUACUU